RNAcentral lists this long non-coding RNA (934 nucleotides) under Mus musculus (house mouse). Its description in RNAcentral is "RIKEN cDNA 5430425K12 gene". The record is from RNAcentral. Lineage: Eukaryota; Metazoa; Chordata; Mammalia; Rodentia; Muridae.
UGGGGGAAAGUAUGCCUGUUUUUGUGACUUGUUGGUAACUGCCGAGUUCUUUUCCUUGGGACUAAAAACAAUUUACAGCAUUGCCAACAGCAUUCAGUACAUUCAGAACAGGAUCAUUUCACCCAGAGCUGACCGAAGGCCUUGCUCGGGACAGCAUCGAGGACGGCUGUCCAGCAGACAGGGGAGUAUGCCAGGUUCAGCAAGUGAAAAGCCAAGCAGGGCCAUUUUAAGCAACACAGCUUAUCAAAGAGUCUUUAGCAACAUAAAAACGAGCAUGUGUUAUUUGCAAACCAUCUGAACCAUUACUCAACCUGAAUGUUCCUAAGUUUUUGCAAGGGAUUUGCUACAAAUCUGAUCUUAAACUCACGGAAAUCCUCUGAUAUCAGCAUCCCAAGUCCUUGGAUUAAAUGGAGUUUAUUCCAGGAGCUUGACCCUUCCUGGAACCACACUGCCAGCUACCCAGGGAAGAGGAGCAGGCUAGAAUUGGAGAAAGCCAACUGCAUUGCACUCUAUGGGUAGGCAGAAGCACACUGGAGAUAAAGGCCUGGUUCAGUACCACACAUUUCAGUCACCAAAUGAGAAACAAUGGCUGCCAGUCUUCACACCCUUCAACAAUAAAGAGCUUUCAAGCUCUUGCUGUCAACAAGAGUUCUGGAAUGAUUACACUGGCUGAAAGACACAACGUAUCCACCCUUCCCACCCAUGGAUUCUUCAUCUAAACUCAAGCAAACCAAGACGGACAGCAUUAAGAAAUGAACCUGUCCCUGUAUGUGCAAACAAUUACCCUAUCAUGCUCCAAACAAUGUGCUAUAAUAACUGUAGCAUACUACCAGCGGUUAAAACUAACCUAGAGCAGACGAGAGAGCAUGUGCACACUACAUGCAAUACUAUUGUGCUUAUACAAGGGUCCUGAGCUUCUGAGGAUUUGAGCAUC